RNAcentral lists this ribosomal RNA (449 nucleotides) under uncultured bacterium. RNAcentral's name for it is "partial 16S ribosomal RNA". It matches the Rfam family "Bacterial small subunit ribosomal RNA", at positions 29 to 523 of the family's 1533-position model. The record is from RNAcentral.
AACGAACGCUGGCGGCAGGCCUAACACAUGCAAGUCGAACGCCCUAGCAAUAGGGAGUGGCAGACGGGUGAGUAGCACGUGGGAACCUUCCCUAUAGUACGGAAUAGCCCAGGGAAACUUGGAGUAAUACCGUAUACGCCCGAGAGGGGAAAGACUUAUCGCUAUAGGAUGGGCCCGCGUAGGAUUAGCUAGUUGGUGAGGUAAUGGCUCACCAAGGCGACGAUCCUUAGCUGGUCUGAGAGGACGACCAGCCACACUGGGACUGAGACACGGCCCAGACUCCUACGGGAGGCAGCAGUGGGGAAUAUUGGACAAUGGGCGCAAGCCUGAUCCAGCCAUGCCGCGUGAGUGAUGAAGGCCUUAGGGUUGUAAAGCUCUUUUGUCGGGGACGAUAAUGACGGUACCCGAAGAAUAAGUCCCGGCUAACUUCGUGCCAGCCGCCGGAGUAA